Molecule: ribosomal RNA, 253 nt
Filed under: uncultured bacterium
Lineage: Bacteria
Description: partial 16S ribosomal RNA
Rfam family: Bacterial small subunit ribosomal RNA
Source: RNAcentral
UACGUAGGGCGCAAGCGUUGUCCGGAAUUAUUGGGCGUAAAGAGCUCGUAGGCGGUUUGUCACGUCGGAUGUGAAAGCCCGGGGCUUAACCCCGGGUCUGCAUUCGAUACGGGCAGACUAGAGUGUGGAAGGGGAGAUCGGAAUUCCUGGUGUAGCGGUGAAAUGCGCAGAUAUCAGGAGGAACACCUAUGGCGAAGGCAGCUCGCUGGGACGAUACUGACGCUGAGGCGCGAAAGCGUGGGGAGCAAACAGG